GAUGAAGAACGUAGCGAAAUGCGAUACUUGGUGUGAAUUGCAGAAUCCCGUGAACCAUCGAGUCUUUGAACGCAAGUUGCGCCCGAAGCCAUUAGGCCGAGGGCACGCCUGCCUGGGCGUCACACGUCGUUGCCCCCCCAUCUACUCCUUCGGGAUUGCGGGGGGCGGAUGAUGGCCUCCCGUGCGCCUCGUCGCGCGGUUGGCAUAAAUACCAAGUCCUCGGCGACGCACGCCACGACAAUCGGUGGUUGCGAAACCUCGGUUGCCCGUCGUGUGCGGUCGUCGCGCAUCGAGGGCUCGAAAAAAUUGCCGGGCUCCGGCUCGGCUUUCAACGCGACCCCAGGUCAGGCGGGGUUACCCGCUGAAUUUAAGGAUAUCAAUAAGCGGAGGA
Molecule: unclassified non-coding RNA, 391 nt
Filed under: soil metagenome
Description: partial contains 5.8S ribosomal RNA, internal transcribed spacer 2, and large subunit ribosomal RNA
Rfam family: 5.8S ribosomal RNA (bases 1-122)
Source: RNAcentral